UACGUAGGUGGCAAGCGUUGUUCGGAUUUACUGGGCGUAAAGGGCGCGUAGGCGGCGUGACAAGUCACUUGUGAAAUCUCCGGGCUUAACUCGGAAAGGUCAACCGAUACUGUGCGGCUAGAGUGCGGAAGGGGCAACUGGAAUUCUCGGUGUAGCGGUGAAAUGCGUAGAUAUCGAGAGGAACACCUGCGGCGAAGGCGGGUUGCUGGGCCGACACUGACGCUGAUGCGCGAAAGCCAGGGGAGCGAACGGG
RNAcentral lists this ribosomal RNA (253 nucleotides) under uncultured bacterium. Its description in RNAcentral is "partial 16S ribosomal RNA". It matches the Rfam family "Bacterial small subunit ribosomal RNA", at positions 524 to 776 of the family's 1533-position model. The record is from RNAcentral.